This 395-nucleotide ribosomal RNA is filed under the name uncultured bacterium. RNAcentral's name for it is "bacterial SSU rRNA". It matches the Rfam family "Bacterial small subunit ribosomal RNA", at positions 30 to 407 of the family's 1533-position model. The record is from RNAcentral.
AGUGAACGCUGGCGGCAGGCCUAACACAUGCAAGUCGAGCGGCAGCGGGUUCCCGCGAGGGGAUGCCGGCGAGCGGCGGACGGGUGAGGAACACAUCGGAAUCUGCCUGGUUGUGGGGGAUAACGUAGGGAAACUUACGCUAAUACCGCAUGAGACCCUGAGUCGACGGACUGGGGGUGAAAGUGAGGGACCUUCGGGCCGUCACGCGACCAGAUGAGCCGAUGUCGGAUUAGCUAGUUGGCGGGGUAACGGCCCGCCAAGGCGACGAUCCGUAGCUGGUCUGAGAGGAUGAUCAGCCACACUGGGACUGAGACACGGCCCAGACUCCUACGGGAGGCAGCAGUGGGAAUCUUGGACAAUGGGCGCAAGCCUGAUCCAGCCAUGCCGCGUGGGUG